This 306-nucleotide small nuclear RNA is filed under the name Octodon degus (degu). RNAcentral describes it as "7SK RNA (ENSODEG00000024382.1)". It matches the Rfam family "7SK RNA". Rfam says of the family: 7SK was discovered as an abundant small nuclear RNA in the mid-70s but a possible function has only recently been suggested. Lineage: Eukaryota; Metazoa; Chordata; Mammalia; Rodentia; Octodontidae. The record is from Rfam by way of RNAcentral.
GGAUGUAAGGGUGAUCUGGCUGUGACAUCUGUCACCCCACUGAUCGCUAGGGUUGAUUCAGCUGAUCUGGCCGGCGAGGCAGGUGUCCCCUUCCUCCCUCAAUGAUCCAUGUGCGUCCCUCCCGAAGCUGCGUGCUCAGUUGAAGAGGAUGACCACCCCUGAUAGAGGAGGACCGUUGCUCGGUCAAAGGUACACGAGUAGCUGCGCUCCCCUGCUAGAACCUCCAAACAAGCUCUAUUGUUUUUAUGUAUUUAGUACAGGGCCUAUAGGGUCUCACUAUGUAGAUCGGACUCAUGAUCCUCCCAU